This 195-nucleotide ribosomal RNA is filed under the name uncultured bacterium. RNAcentral's name for it is "partial 16S ribosomal RNA". It matches the Rfam family "Bacterial small subunit ribosomal RNA", at positions 337 to 523 of the family's 1533-position model. The record is from RNAcentral.
GCCUACGGGAGGCAGCAGUGGGGAAUUUUGGGCAAUGGGCGAAAGCCUGACCCAGCAACGCCGCGUGAGGGAUGAAGGCCUUCGGGUCGUAAACCUCUGUCGGGAGGGGCGAAAGGCGCGCGGGUGAACAAUCCGCGUACUUGACGGUACCUCCAAAGGAAGCGCCGGCUAACUCCGUGCCAGCAGCCGCGGUAA